Molecule: ribosomal RNA, 498 nt
Filed under: uncultured eukaryote
Lineage: Eukaryota
Description: SSU rRNA
Rfam family: Eukaryotic small subunit ribosomal RNA
Source: RNAcentral
UUGCAGUUAAAAAGCUCGUAGUCGGAUUUUGGCAUGCACGCCGAACUGUCAGCCGAUUGGUUUGUACGGUUUGGCGGGUGCUCUCCUUCCGGAAGCUCGUUCCCUUCUUAGUUGACGGGUUCGAUGGUUCCGGGUCUUUUACUUUGAAAAAAUUAGAGUGUUCAAAGCAGGCCUAUGCUCUGAAUAGGUUAGCAUGGAAUAAUAGAAUAGGACUUUGGUUCUAUUUUGUUGGUUUCUAGGACCGAAGUAAUGAUUAAUAGGGACAGUUGGGGGCAUUCAUAUUCCAAUGUCAGAGGUGAAAUUCUUGGAUUAUCGGAAGAUGAACUUCUGCGAAAGCAUCUGCCAAGGAUGUUUUCAUUGAUCAAGAACGAAAGUUAGGGGAUCGAAGACGAUCAGAUACCGUCGUAGUCUUAACCAUAAACUAUGCCGACUAGGGAUGUGAAGGCGUUAUUUUAUACGACCCUUCAUGCACCUUAUGAGAAAUCAAAGUCUAUGGGU